This 1118-nucleotide ribosomal RNA is filed under the name Ctenocephalides felis (cat flea). RNAcentral describes it as "SSU rRNA". It matches the Rfam family "Eukaryotic small subunit ribosomal RNA", at positions 162 to 1220 of the family's 1831-position model. The record is from RNAcentral. Lineage: Eukaryota; Metazoa; Arthropoda; Insecta; Siphonaptera; Pulicidae.
AGCUAUACAUGCAAAUAGAGUUCCGACCAGAGAUGGAAGGAAUGCUUUUAUUAGAUCAAAACCAAUCGGUGGCGGGCUUGCCUUGCUCACCGUUUGACUUGGUGACUCUGAAUAACUUUGUGCUGAUCGCACGGUCUAGUACCGGCGACGCAUCUUUCAAAUGUCUGCCUUAUCAACUGUCGAUGGUAGUUUCUGCGACUACCAUGGUUGUUACGGGUAACGGGGAAUCAGGGUUCGAUUCCGGAGAGGGAGCCUGAGAAACGGCUACCACAUCCAAGGAAGGCAGCAGGCGCGCAAAUUACCCACUCCCGGCACGGGGAGGUAGUGACGAAAAAUAACGAUACGGGACUCAUCCGAGGCCCCGUAAUCGGAAUGAGUACACUUUAAAUCCUUUAACGAGGAUCUAUUAGAGGGCCAGUCUGGUGCCAGCAGCCGCGGUAAUUCCAGCUCUAAUAGCGUAUAUUAAAGUUGUUGCGGUUAAAAAGCUCGUAGUUGAAUCUGUGUCCCACACUGUCGGUUCACCGCUCGCGGUGUUCAACUGGCAUGUCUGUGGGACGUCCUACCGGUGGGCUUAGCCCGUCAAAAGGCGGCCCAACUCAAAAUCCUACCACGGUGCUCUUCACCGAGUGUCGAGGUGGGCCGGUACGUUUACUUUGAACAAAUUAGAGUGCUUAAAGCAGGCUCAUUCGCCUGAAUAUUGUGUGCAUGGAAUAAUGGAAUAGGACCUCGGUUCUAUUUUGUUGGUUUUCGGAAUUCCGAGGUAAUGAUUAAUAGGGACAACUGGGGGCAUUCGUAUUGCGACGUUAGAGGUGAAAUUCUUGGAUCGUCGCAAGACGGACAGAAGCGAAAGCAUUUGCCAAAUGUGUUUUCAUCAAUCAAGAACGAAAGUUAGAGGUUCGAAGGCGAUCAGAUACCGCCCUAGUUCUAACCAUAAACGAUGCCAGCUAGCGAUCCGCCGAAGUUCCUCCGAUGACUCGGCGGGCAGCUUCCGGGAAACCAAAGCUUUUGGGUUCCGGGGGAAGUAUGGUUGCAAAGCUGAAACUUAAAGGAAUUGACGGAAGGGCACUACAAGGAGUGGAGCCUGCGGCUUAAUUUGACUCAACACGGAAACCUCACCA